UACAGAGCAAGUGUCUUACCCC
RNAcentral lists this non-coding RNA (22 nucleotides) under Rattus norvegicus (Norway rat). The record is from RNAcentral. Lineage: Eukaryota; Metazoa; Chordata; Mammalia; Rodentia; Muridae.